RNAcentral lists this ribosomal RNA (497 nucleotides) under uncultured bacterium. RNAcentral describes it as "partial 16S ribosomal RNA". It matches the Rfam family "Bacterial small subunit ribosomal RNA", at positions 28 to 507 of the family's 1533-position model. The record is from RNAcentral.
GAUGAACGCUGGCGGCGUGCCUAAUACAUGCCAGUCGAGCGAACAGAUAAGGAGCUUGCUCCUUUGACGUUAGCGGCGGACGGGUGAGUAACACGUGGGUAACCUAUCUAUAAGACUGGAAUAACUCCGGGAAACCGGGGCUAAUGCCGGAUAACAUGUUGAACCGCAUGGUUCUACAGUGAAAGGCGGCUUUGCUGUCACUUAUAGAUGGACCCGCGCCGUAUUAGCUAGUUGGUGAGGUAACGGCUCACCAAGGCAACGAUACGUAGCCGACCUGAGAGGAUGAUCGGCCACACUGGAACUGAGACACGGUCCAGACUCCUACGGGAGGCAGCAGUAGGGAAUCUUCCGCAAUGGGCGAAAGCCUGACGGAGCAACGCCGCGUGGGUGAUGAAGGUCUUCGGAUCGUAAAGCUCUGUUAUUAGGGAAGAACAAAUGCGUAAGUAACUGUGCGCGUCUUGACGGUACCUAAUCAGAAAGCCACGGCUAACUACGUG